Triticum aestivum (bread wheat) is the source of this 135-nucleotide non-coding RNA. The record is from Rfam. Lineage: Eukaryota; Viridiplantae; Streptophyta; Magnoliopsida; Poales; Poaceae.
CAGGUACUCCCUCCGUCCGGAAAUACUUGUCAUCAAAAUGAAUAAAAGGAGAUGUAUCUAGAUGUAUUUUAGUUCAAAAUACAUCCUCUUUUAUCCAUUUUGACGACAAGCUUUUCUGGACGGAGGGAGUACUAA